GGGGGCGAAACGGUUUCGACGAGGAUAAAGACGCUCCGGCUGCAUACCAAGCUCCUGUCAGCUUGUAAAAAUGAUGGGAAACUAAAUAUAAUCGCAGAUGAUUAUAACUACGCUUUAGCCGCUUAAAGGCUAACGUCCUGCCGGAUGAUUCCUGCUAACCCGGUACGGGCGUCGACGAGCAGGAUAGCCAAUCCUAAUAUCCUGUUAACGGAAUGGCGAAUCUUCUUACAGGAUAGCCGCUCAAGCAUCCUGCCUGAAGGAGACUUGAGUAGGCGAAAGCCAAAUUUCGGGCUAUGUAUGUAGACGCCAUGGCAGAAUGUUUUCGGACGCGGGUUCGACUCCCGCCGCCUCCACCA
This 356-nucleotide transfer-messenger RNA is filed under the name Desulfobacterales. Its description in RNAcentral is "G020345745 sp020345745 Standard tmRNA". It matches the Rfam family "transfer-messenger RNA". Rfam says of the family: Bacterial tmRNA, also known as 10Sa RNA or SsrA, is named for its dual tRNA and mRNA-like properties. Its role is to liberate the mRNA from a stalled ribosome. To accomplish this part of the tmRNA is used as a reading frame that ends in a translation stop signal. Lineage: Bacteria; Pseudomonadati; Thermodesulfobacteriota; Desulfobacteria. The record is from RNAcentral. RNAcentral also lists the same sequence under 1 other name.